RNAcentral lists this ribosomal RNA (513 nucleotides) under Tantulidia rufifrons. RNAcentral describes it as "partial large subunit ribosomal RNA". The stretch from base 387 to 513 matches the Rfam family "Archaeal large subunit ribosomal RNA", at positions 2542 to 2669 of the family's 2987-position model. The record is from RNAcentral. Lineage: Eukaryota; Metazoa; Arthropoda; Insecta; Hemiptera; Cicadellidae.
UUCCUUUAGAUUUUGUUAAAGGUAAUUUCUGCCCUAUGAUGUUAAUUGAUUUAAAUGGCUGCAGUAUUUUGACUGUACAAAGGUAGCAUAGUAAUUAGUUUUUUAAUUGAGGACUUGUAUGAAAGGAUAUAUGAAGGAUUAUUUUUAUUUAAUUAAGUAUUAAAAUUUUAUUUUUUGGUUAAAAAGCUAAAUUGUGUUUUAGGGACGAGAAGACCCUAUAGAACUUAAUAUUUUAUAUAAUUAGUUUUAUUUAGUUAUUUUUCAAGAUUAUUUAAAGUGAAUAUUUAAUUGGGGUGAUUAAUAAAUUUAAAAGGCUUUAUUUCUAAAAUUCAUUUAUUAGUGUAAUUAUGAUCCUUACUAAAGAUUAAAAGAUAAGUUACCUUAGGGAUAACAGCGUAAUUUUAAUGGGAAGUUCAUAUUUAAAUUAAAGUUUGCGACCUCGAUGUUGAAUUAAGGUGAAUUUAAGGUGUAGGAGCUUUUUGAUUAAGUCUGUUCGACUUUUAAAACCUUACA